Molecule: transfer RNA, 76 nt
Filed under: Mycoavidus sp. HKI
Lineage: Bacteria; Pseudomonadati; Pseudomonadota; Betaproteobacteria; Burkholderiales; Burkholderiaceae
Also listed under: 1 other name
Description: tRNA-Lys
Rfam family: tRNA
About the family: Transfer RNA (tRNA) molecules are approximately 80 nucleotides in length. Their secondary structure includes four short double-helical elements and three loops (D, anti-codon, and T loops).
Source: RNAcentral
GGGUCGUUAGCUCAGCUGGUAGAGCAGCGGACUUUUAAUCCGUUGGUCGCAGGUUCGAACCCCGCACGGCCUACCA